GGUUUUUAUGGCUUUGUGUUAGGUUUCUUUGUUACCGUUUUCAACUCUGAAUUCAAUUUCUUUCUAAAUUGAUCAUCGAAUCGAUUCAACCCUAGUAAGAAACCCACAAUCUUUCGUUCGACCCCAUUUCUUCUCUGUUAGCGAAACUGAUUCGUUCUUCGAUUCCUCGAACCCUAAAAAAAUUAUUUUAAGAUUCUGUAUCGUUAUUUUAGGGUUUCAUGUUUCUGAACCCUAAAAAAUCUUGAUUCGAUUUGAAAGAGAAAGGUAGAAAUGGAAAAGAAUUCUAAGCCCUUGCAACUUGUGAUCAACUUGGAUUCACUUCACUCUCAAUUCAAAUUGUAAAGGUUCUCCAAAAUAUCAUUUGACAGAAAUGUUGUUUUGGGUAGUUUUUUGUAUGCAUUGAUUAUCCAAGAGUGUGCUAAAUUGGUGAAUCUUGAUUUUUCAUGCCUAAGAAGGUUAAUAUAAUUUGGGCCCUAAGAAAUUAUGUAGUUGCUAAAAGAAUUCUAGAUAAGUCUUGAGAUGCUGUGUUUGGAUGAGUUAAUGAGAUGAUUUUUUUACCAAAUAUGUGGCUUACAAUAUGAAUUCUUUAUUUAUAUGGGAUCAGGAUGGUGUACAUGAAAAUUUUGGUCUAAAUGCAAUUUGAAAUAUGAAUGUUUAUUCAAAAUGCUAGUCGGUACUUAAUAACAAUUUUCUUAUUAUGGUAUAGUGUGAAGAGGGUUGUGUGUGUGUCUCUGAUGCGAAUUUGAGUAUAUGUCCCUCGAUGUCCCUAAAUUGAUUAUAUGUCCCUCAAUGUUCCUCAAUUGAUGGUCUGAAUGGAACUUCAAUGUGAAAGUUAUUCUUUACUUCAAAUGUAUGUGGAAAUGACACUUCAGGUCUGAAGCGGGCAGAACCUGUAACUGCUUCAGGUCUUAUAUGGGCUGGUGCUUUGCAGAAUGCUACCGGGGCUGAGCCUGGUGCGUCGUGGACAAAUUCUGCUGUUGUUAAUUGGAAAAGGCCAACUCUGGGAUGAUUCAAAUGUAAUAUUGAUGCAUCCUUUUUGUCGAAUUUAAAUAGAGUUGGCAUUAGAAUAUGAAUCCGUGAUGAAUUUGGUCAAUUUGUGCUUUCAUAGACAACCUGGAUUGCCUUCAACUCUGAUACGGGCUUGUGCUUUGCCGAAUGCUACUGCAGCGCGGACAGAUUUUCUGCUGUUGUUAAUUGGAAAAGACCAACUCUGGGAUGGUUCAAAUGUAAUAUUGAUGCAUCAUUUUCGUCGAGUUUAAAUAGAGUUGGCAUUAGAAUAUGAAUCUGUGAUGAACUUGGUCAAUUUGUGCUUUCAAAGACAGACUGGAUUGCCCUUUAUUGUGGAGUGGAUGUUGGUGAAGCUCUUGGGUACUGCAUAAAGAGAAGCAUGUUUUAUUGCAAUCUUGGCAGAUGUCGCCGUUGAACAAGAAGAACAUUGCUGGCUUUCAGAUCUCUAUGGAUUAUUCGAAGUGGAGAAUCCUCAUGAAGGGUCAUGAAGAGGAAAAAUAUGAGGAGAAUGAAGCUAAUGAACCUUGUAGUACAUGUUAUGCUGUGUUGUAACGUUUUCAUGGUUGUGAGUUUCUUCUAAUGAAAAAGUCUUGUUCUGAAAACGAUGCCGUUUAUCUUGACAAUGGAAAUUCCUUACAACGGAGGUUCUCUGCAUCACAAAGUCCAGCUUUAUCAUUCAAGUGUAUGAAUGAAAAUUAUGACAUUGUCACAAGGCCAGUUCGUUUCCAUAUUUCGGGGUACUGCAUAAAGAGAAGCAUGUUUUAUUGCAUUCUUGACAAAUGUUGUGGUUGAACAAGACAUUGGUCUUUUUCAAAUGUCCUUGCCAAUCCGAAAUCUGAUAUCUUUGGAUUCAUUUCAUCAUCGAGAAGGACAUUACUGGCUUUCAGAUCUCUAUGGAUUACUCUAAG
This is a long non-coding RNA of Trifolium pratense (red clover), 1916 nucleotides long. RefSeq lists it as uncharacterized. The transcript is spliced from 8 exons. The record is from RefSeq and is a predicted model, not a curated record. Lineage: Eukaryota; Viridiplantae; Streptophyta; Magnoliopsida; Fabales; Fabaceae.